GUGGCAGCCGCCGCGGUAAUACGGAGGGUGCAAGCGUUAUCCGGAUUCAUUGGGUUUAAAGGGUGCGCAGGCGGAUUAUUAAGUCAGUGGUGAAAUCCUCCCGCUUAACGGGAGAACUGCCAUUGAUACUGAUAAUCUGGAAUACGGUUGAAGUGGGCGGAAUGUAGCAUGUAGCGGUGAAAUGCAUAGAGAUGCUACAGAGCACCGAUCGCGAAGGCAGCUCACUAAGCCGAUAUUGACGCUCAGGCACGAAAGCGCGGGGAGCGAACAGGAUUAGAUACCCUGGUAGUCCACGCCGUAAACGAUGAUAACUCGUUGUUGGCGACACACAGCCAGCGACUAAGCGAAAGCGAUAAGUUAUCCGACCUGGGGAGUACGAUCGCAAGGUUGAAACUCAAAGGAAUGACGG
Molecule: ribosomal RNA, 409 nt
Filed under: uncultured bacterium
Lineage: Bacteria
Description: bacterial SSU rRNA
Rfam family: Bacterial small subunit ribosomal RNA
Source: RNAcentral